This is a non-coding RNA of Phoenix dactylifera (date palm), 497 nucleotides long. NCBI's taxonomy places the organism in Eukaryota, Viridiplantae, Streptophyta, Magnoliopsida, Arecales, Arecaceae. The record is from RefSeq and is a predicted model, not a curated record.
GGUUCCUAAAACCACCGCGUGGCGCGUGGUUUCAAAAACCACGCGCCGCGCGUGGUUUUAAGAAGGAAGUGGCCAACGGGCCACUUCUUUCAAAAAAAAAAAAAAUUGCUGUGGCCGACAGGCCACAGCUUCUUUUUCUUUUUUAAUGGGAAAGGAAGUGGCCUCCGGCCACUCCUUCCCAUUAAAAAACAAGGAAGUGGCCUCCGGCCACUUCUUUCCCUUCAAAUCAACGAAAGAAGUGGCCGAAAGGCCACUUCUUUUCUGUUAAUAUGGGAUUAACAGCACGAUCUUAAGCCUCUCGUUCGGUUAUAAAAACCGAACGAAGCUCACUUCUUUCCCAAACAAUUUGAGGUUGAGAGGUUCUAUUUAAGGUGCGGAGACGGAAAGAUUUGAGAGAUAGCGAGGAGGAGGUCCUGCCCAAAAAAUCCAGCGGAGACUAUUUAAGGUGCGGUUUUUUUAUCCUAUAUUAUUUCAUUAAUUUUGUUAAUAAUUUACUU